This 379-nucleotide unclassified non-coding RNA is filed under the name uncultured Oligoflexales bacterium. RNAcentral describes it as "contains 16S-23S intergenic spacer region". The record is from RNAcentral. Lineage: Bacteria; Pseudomonadati; Bdellovibrionota; Oligoflexia; Oligoflexales.
UCCGUGUUAACCACGGCAGUCUCUUUAGAGAGCCCAACUUAAUGCUGGCAACUAAAGACAAGGGUUGCGCUCGUUGCGGGACUUAACCCAACAUGUCACCACACGAGCUGACGACAGCCAUGCAGCACCUGUCAUCCGGUAGUAUUGCUACUAAAGACGUAUCUCUACGUUUGUCCGGAGAUGUCAAACCCAGGUAAGGUUCUUCGCGUUGCUUCGAAUUAAACCACAUGAUCCACCGCUUGUGCGGGCCCCCGUCAAUUCCUUUGAGUUUUAGUCUUGCGACCGUACUUCCCAGGCGCGGUACUUAUCGCGUUAGCUCCGGCUCGGCAGGGGUCAAGACCUACCAAGCCUAGUACCGAUCGUUUACGGCGUGGACUAC